UGGAAAGGCAAACUAUCUGACUAUUGAAGCCCAUCUAGUCUGUUAUUCUUUAUGGCCACUAUGUCUUCCACUAUGUUUUUUGGAGGGGUGCUGUGUGUCAACGUCAUAGUAAUAGUGCUGAUAUUGAUAAUCUUUUUGAUAUAGCUAUAGAUGUGAUAUAGAUAACUUUUUUGUUUACUGCUAAUGAUCUUUACCGAAUCAGCAGCGCACUGAUGUUACUGGUUAAAUUACGGUAAAAGAUAAGUCGGCUAGAGGUCUAAUCGUCGCAAGAAGCAGGUCUUCGAGGCAACCGUUAGUGCUGGUAGCGGCAUCAGGUCGUGUUUCAUGUGGUCGCCAGCAACGAAGCCGGAAUUAGGAGGAGGGCUUGGACGGAAGAGGGCGUCACUGACAAGGGUGACGCGACGCACGCCGUACCUUUCGAAGGUUACCAUCCGAAGUCAUCAGAUCUAAGCUCCACAAAGCGAAGACGUCGGCUACGUAGAACGUUGACGGGCAAGAAUGCAAGAGUGCUCGCACCGUUGUAGAAUUACGGCGAUGGCGUGCAGCAGGUGGUCAGUUGGUAGCCGUUGCAAGACGCGAUAAUAUUGGCCCUUGCGAGGGACGGAGCCGCACGGAAGACACGCAAAAAUCUUCGUUUUUAGCAUUUCUCGGUUAUAAGUAGAAAUUGACUAAGAAUUCAUAAAUUUAAAAUACUAUAGAACUAAAAUGGAGUACGAAAAUCGUUCCCUGAGCUCAUUCAAAUCUCUAAUUAGAUUCUCUGGCUGUUACAACAGCCAUCUCCCUAUAGCGUACACACUGUUAGUAACAUGUAUAGAUAAGCCGCAAAUAAAUCGUGUCGUUCAUUUUGUUUCAUACCUGACGCUGAUAAUACCGAACGCUGUCAAAUAAAAUGCGUGCGGAGUAAAACGCGCCUGACUGCAGUAUAUAAUUAUGCAAAUAUAGUAGUAUUUGUUUUAUUUAGACAUAUACGUAGGCAGUUUAACUACCUGCCACCUAAAAAAGCCGCAGACCCCCUGGUAAUUAAAGAUAAACUAAGAGAUAAAUUUGAAUGCACAAAAAUUAAGGCCUGUAAAUUUUAAUAAAUUGUAAUUGUAUUAUCCGAGACUAAAUAAUAAGGCAAUAAAUACAUGAAUCUGAAGGCUUCAAAAAUACCUUAUAAUCCACAAUAAAUAUACCAGAAUGUGAUCACCGAGUGAUAA
Molecule: long non-coding RNA, 1199 nt
Organism: Varroa destructor (honeybee mite)
Lineage: Eukaryota; Metazoa; Arthropoda; Arachnida; Mesostigmata; Varroidae
Source: RefSeq, a predicted model, not a curated record